GUAGGUGGCAAGCGUUGUCCGGAAUUAUUGGGCGUAAAGCGCGCGCAGGCGGUUCUUUAAGUCUGAUGUGAAAGCCCACGGCUCAACCGUGGAGGGUCAUUGGAAACUGGAGAACUUGAGUACAGAAGAGGAAAGCGGAAUUCCACGUGUAGCGGUGAAAUGCGUAGAGAUGUGGAGGAACACCAGUGGCGAAGGCGGCUUUCUGGUCUGUAACUGACGCUGAGGCGCGAAAGCGUGGGGAGCAAACAGGGAUUAGAUACCCUGGUAGUCCACGCCGUAACCGAUGAGUGCUAAGUGUUAGGGGGUUUCCGCCCCCUUAGUGCUGCAGCUAACGCAUUAAGCACUCCGCCUGGGGAUACGACCGCAAGGUUG
Molecule: ribosomal RNA, 372 nt
Filed under: uncultured organism
Description: partial 16S ribosomal RNA
Rfam family: Bacterial small subunit ribosomal RNA
Source: RNAcentral